RNAcentral lists this ribosomal RNA (2317 nucleotides) under Triticum aestivum (bread wheat). RNAcentral describes it as "partial small subunit ribosomal RNA". The record is from RNAcentral. Lineage: Eukaryota; Viridiplantae; Streptophyta; Magnoliopsida; Poales; Poaceae.
AUGUACCGGCAUCAAUUCACACCCACUAAAAUUACCCAAGCACACGGAGCUGUGACGAUGGUAACAAGCUGGGUGUCCGUUGCAGCGUUGCUGCUGCUGAUGUCGGUGCCAAUGGUGGUCGCCGUGGAUCCGCCGACGACGAUGCCGAACUGCAAUGCCACCUGUGGCGACGUGAGCGUGCCGUACCCGUUCGGCAUGGGCCCCGCCAGGUGCUACCGGCCAGGGUUCAAGCUCACCUGCGACCACGGCAGCAAGCCGCCGAGGCUGCUCCUCGGCGAGGGCGGCGCCGGUGCUUUGGAGGUUGUCAACAUCUCCCUGAGGAACACCACGGUGCGCGUCAUCCGCCAGGGAGUGUACGCCGUAAACAUGAGCGACUCCGGCGAUGGGGUCUACCGGUGGAGCUGGAGCCUCGCCGUCGGCGGGGGCGGGGUGCUGCCAUACCCAUACAUCCUCGGGCAGGACUUGAACGAGCUCAUCCUCACGGGGUGCAACGUGCAAGUCACGCUCCAGAGGAUGAACGGGAGCAGCGGCCAUAUCGUCAGCGGCUGCGCCUCCUUCCGCUCCAUGUAUCUGAUGGUGACCCGCGAUGAAGGCGGCAACAUCUGCUCCAACCUCGGCUGCUGCCAGUCGUACAUCCCCGCAGGCGACGCAUCCUAUGGCGUGGAGCUUAAGCGGCUCGGCGGCGGCAUGCCGAGAUGGAGAAUGUACUUGGAGUACAACGCGGUGAACGUGCUCGUCGCCGAGAUGGGUUGGCUCAAUUACGACCGGAUAAGGAGACUGCGCGUCGCGCUGGGAAGGACAGCUGCUGAGGUGAAGGUCCCCAUGAUUCUCCGGUGGGCGGUGCCCUACGGAGCUGCACCGACCGACAGACGGCAUGACAACUACACGGGGAUAUGCCCGGCCGACGCAGAUCGGACCAUCUGCAAAAGCACCAACAGCCAGUGCGUGUACGAGACAACCAAUACAUCCACGGGCUUUUUUUUCGAGAAAAAGGGUGAACCCCGGGCCACAUUCAGAGGCUAUUCUUGCCGGUGCAACAAGGGCUACGACGGUAACCCUUACCUCACCGCCGGAUGCCAAGAUAUCAAAGAGUGUGGUCGAAAAGAAGAACAUGGGUGCUUCGGCAACUGCGAGGAACUUCCCGGAACAUUCCGGUGCGGAUGUCCCAAAGGGACCAAGGGCAACCCCAAUGUACGCAAUGACUGUGUCAUGCCUGUGGUAAACACAGGUAAUCGUCACUUGAGAUUAAUCAUUGGUCUGUCGGUUGCUAGUGGCCCGUGUGUUCUCAUUUUGGUUCUUGGUGCACUCAUAAUAACCCGUUAUCUUAAGCAACGAGGCUAGGAUGUUGAGGCAGAAAUUUUUUCGACAAAACCGUGGACAACUAUUGAAGCAACUCGUAUCCGAUAGGGAUGACAUCGCAGAGAGAAUGCUCAUUUCUCUAGAGGAGCUAGAGAAGGCUACUAACAAUUUUGAUCAAGCUCGUAAGCUUGGUGGUGGAGGGCAUGGCACUGUCUUCAAAGGGAUCUUGUCAGAUCUACAUGUUGUGGCCAUCAAGAAAUCAAAGAUCAACCAUAAGAAUAUCAAGAGAGAAAUUGGCGAGUUCAUUAAUGAGGUUGCCAUACUCUCACAGAUCAAUCAUAAGCAUAUUGUGAAACUUCACGGUUGUUGCCUUGAGGCAGAAAUCCCUCUACUUGCUUACGAGUUCGUUUCCAAUGGAACACUCAGUGACCAUCUUCACACAGAGGCACCAAGAUCUCUAUCUUGGAAAGAUAGGUUAAGGAUCGCAAGUGAAAUAAGCAAAGCUCUAGCUUAUCUUCACUCCGCUAUUUCAGUCCCCAUAAUCCAUAGAGAUAUUAAGCCUUCCAACAUACUUCUUGAUGAUGCCUUGGUAGCGAAAGUGUCAGACUUUGGAGCUUCACGAUACAUUCCAGAUCAAACACAAACACCAACUGCAGUGCAAAGAACUAUGGGAUAUUUAGAUCCAAUGUAUUAUUACACACGACGAUUAACAGAAAGUAGCGACGUCUAUAGCUUUGGUGUCCUUCUUGUUGAGUUGCUAACAAGGAAGAGGACAUCUUUGUGUAUGUCCUCUGAAGGUGAUUGCAUUGUCACACAGUUUGUUGAACUACAUGAUGAUGGAAAUCAAGCCAAAAUAUUGGAUCCACAGGUCAUGGAGGAGGGAGGUAGUGAAGUGGAAGAUGUAGCUACUCUAGCUGUGUCAUGCAUGAAACUGAUAGCAGGAGAGCGACCAACCAUGAGGCAAGUGGAGAUUGUCUUGGAAGCUCUCCAAAGCACCCAAGGAGUGUGUCCUGGGUGA